CCGAGUUAGGGUCCCCUGGGCCCGACCUCCCAACCCUUUGUCUAAAAUACCGCUUGUUGCUUCGGCGGGCCCGUCUUCACCGACCGCCGGGGGACUACCAUGUACCCCCUGGCCCGCGCCCGUCGACAGCCCCAACCACAAAAUUCUGAACAAAACGUGUCUAUAUCUGAGUACACAUUGCAAAUAAAGCAA
Molecule: unclassified non-coding RNA, 192 nt
Filed under: uncultured Chaetothyriales
Lineage: Eukaryota; Fungi; Ascomycota; Eurotiomycetes; Chaetothyriales
Description: sequence contains ITS1
Source: RNAcentral